GCAUCGGUUUAGCUCAGUGGUUACUUCUACAAACUCAACGUCUCUUGGACGAUCCGCGGGUUGUCAGGUUCGACUACGGGCGCUGUCCGAUGUUUUU
This 97-nucleotide vault RNA is filed under the name Oryzias javanicus (javanese ricefish). Its description in RNAcentral is "Vault RNA (ENSOJAG00000007101.1)". It matches the Rfam family "Vault RNA". From Rfam's summary of the family: This family of RNAs are found as part of the enigmatic vault ribonucleoprotein complex. The complex consists of a major vault protein (MVP), two minor vault proteins (VPARP and TEP1), and several small untranslated RNA molecules. It has been suggested that the vault complex is involved in drug resistance. The record is from Rfam by way of RNAcentral. Lineage: Eukaryota; Metazoa; Chordata; Actinopteri; Beloniformes; Adrianichthyidae.